AUGUCGCCGAUGGCAUGGAUGUUGGUGCUAAUGCUACUGCCAUUAGCUGCAUCGGCCUCUAGCGCCUUGGUGCUGAAGCCAGACUGCCAGGCGCGAUGCGGCGACCUCGUCGUCCCCUACCCGUUCGGCAUCGGCGCCGGCUGCUUCCGUCCCGGCUUCGAGAUCGCCUGCGACAGGAACACGACGCCGUUUCUGCCGGAUGUCACCUUCAAGGGCCACACCCCCGCCGAGCCCGUGCGCGUGUUGAACCUGAACGUGACGCCGAGGGCGCAGGUCCGGGUGAUGCUGCCUGUGGCGCACGAGUGCGUCGACACUGCCCGCAAGGUGACCGCCCGCUUCGACGGCAAGCUGACAUUCAACAAGUGGCGCGUUUACCGCAUCUCCAACACCGCCAACGAGCUCUUUGUUUUGGGCUGCGACACCCUCAUCUACGCCGCCAGUAGGCCGCGGAGGUCCCGAUUCCGGCACGCGACGAGCGACCCCUACUCCAGUGGGUGCGUUGCCUAUUGCAAUAGCGCCCAGGACGCGCGGGACCGCAGGUGCAACAGCAUCGGAUGCUGCCACGUCAACAUCUCGCGGUUGCUAAACAACACCAAGAUGUGGUUCGAGAAAUGGUCGCGCACGCGCGUCGACUCCACGCGCCCCUGCGACUACGCCUUCAUCGUGGAGAAGAAUGGCUACGUCUUCGAGACUGCCCAUCUGAAGAGGAAACCGGAGCCGGACCCGGACAAGCGAUGGAGCAUGCCGCUUUGGCUGGACUGGGCCAUCCGCAACCGCAGUAACUCCAUGUGGUGCCCCCAGGCGGUCAAGACGCGAGAAUACGCUUGCGUGAGCAAGCACAGCGACUGCGCGAAUUCCACCAACGGGAAGGGGUACAUCUGCAAAUGCUCGAACGGCUAUGAGGGCACCCCAUACCUUAUCGAUGGAUGCACAGAGGUAACGACAGGUUUAAUCAUUGGCCUAUCAGUUUCUAGUGGCCCAACUAUUCUAAUUUUGCUUCUCACCACAAAGAUAAUAAUCCGCAAGCUUAAGAAUCAAAAGGAACAAAAGUUGAGACAAAAGUUCUUCAAUCAAAAUCGUGGACAAUUGUUGCAAAAAUUGGUAUCUCAUAGGUCAGAUAUUGCAGAGCGGAUGAUCAUCCCUUUAAGGGAGCUAGAAAAAGCCACAAACAAGUUUCAUCCAACUCGUAAGCUUGGUGGUGGAGGGCAUGGUACUGUAUAUAAAGGAAUUUUAUCAGACUUGCAUGUUGUUGCAAUCAAAAGGUCAAAUAUUGAGGUCAAGAGUGAGAUUAAUGAGUUUAUAAAUGAAGUUUCCAUACUCUCACAAAUCAAUCAUAGGAACAUUGUAAAGCUUUUUGGAUGUUGUCUCGAGACAGAAGUCCCUUUGUUGGCUUAUGAGUUCAUUUCCAAUGGAACCCUAUGUGAUUAUCUUCACAAGAAACCACUAAGAUCACUACCUUGGCAAGAAAUAUUAAGGAUUGCAUUAGAAAUUGGUAGAGCCCUUUCUUACCUUCAUUCAGGCCUUUCUGUCCCCAUAAUACACAGAGAUAUCAAGUCCACCAAUAUACUUCUUGAUGAUGCUUUGACAGCGAAGGUGUGUGACUUUGGAGCUUCAAGGUACAUUCCUAGAGAUAAAACAACAAUUACAACUGUGGUGCAGGGAAUGUUAGGAUAUUUAGAUCCUACAUACUUUUAUUGUGGCAGGCUAACAGAAAAAAGUGAUGUUUAUAGCUUCGGAGUUAUUCUCGUUGAGUUGCUUACGAGGAAGAUGCCAAUUACACGUAGAUCCUCCUCAGGUGAUGGGCUAGUUGCACAAUUUGUUGAACUACUUGCAAAAGGAAAAUUGGUAGACAUACUAGAUCCACAGGUAAUGGAGGAGGGAGGUAGCCAAGCUGAAGUGGUAGCUUCUCUAGCUAUGUCGUGCACAAAGCUAAGGGCAGAGGAGCGACCAACCAUGAGGUCAGUGGAGAUGACACUAGAAGCACUUCAAGGACCCAAAGAGCGUUUUCGGGUUCAGGAUGGAACAUAUGAGGGGAGUUAUUCAGCAAUGAGGUAUACAUCACCAAGAAGAAGUACAAGCUUAGAGAAAACGAGCAGACAAUAUAGUCAAGAAGAAGAGUUCGUGUUGUCCGCGAGCUACCCUCGAUAG
RNAcentral lists this ribosomal RNA (2148 nucleotides) under Triticum aestivum (bread wheat). Its description in RNAcentral is "partial small subunit ribosomal RNA". Lineage: Eukaryota; Viridiplantae; Streptophyta; Magnoliopsida; Poales; Poaceae. The record is from RNAcentral.